Molecule: ribosomal RNA, 405 nt
Filed under: uncultured bacterium
Lineage: Bacteria
Description: partial 16S ribosomal RNA
Rfam family: Bacterial small subunit ribosomal RNA
Source: RNAcentral
AUUGAACGCUGGCGGCAGGCCUAACACAUGCAAGUCGGACGAGCGGCGGACGGGUGAGUAAUGUAUGGGGAUCUGCCUGAUGGAGGGGGAUAACUACUGGAAACGGUAGCUAAUACCGCAUACCAUCAGAUGUACCCAUAUGGGAUUAGCUUGUAGGUAAGGUAAAGGCUUACCUAGGCGACGAUCCCUAGCUGGUCUGAGAGGAUGACAAGCCACACUGAGACUAGGACACGGCCCAGACUCUUACGGGAGGCAGCAGUGGGGAAUAUUGCACAAUGGGGGCAAGCCUGAGGCAGCAAUGCCGGGUGUAUGAAGAAGGCCUUCGGGUUGUAAAGUACUUUCAGUCGGGAGGCGUUACCGACAGAAGAAGCACCGGCUAACUCCGUGCCAGCAGCCGCGGUAAUA